This 1440-nucleotide ribosomal RNA is filed under the name uncultured organism. RNAcentral describes it as "16S ribosomal RNA". It matches the Rfam family "Bacterial small subunit ribosomal RNA". The record is from RNAcentral.
CAGGCUUAACACAUGCAAGUCGAGGGGCAGCAUGGUCUUAGCUUGCUAAGGCCGAUGGCGACCGGCGCACGGGUGAGUAACACGUAUCCAACCUGCCGUCUACUCUUGGACAGCCUUCUGAAAGGAAGAUUAAUACAAGAUGGCAUCAUGAGUCCGCAUGUUCACAUGAUUAAAGGUAUUCCGGUAGACGAUGGGGAUGCGUUCCAUUAGAUAGUAGGCGGGGUAACGGCCCACCUAGUCUUCGAUGGAUAGGGGUUCUGAGAGGAAGGUCCCCCACAUUGGAACUGAGACACGGUCCAAACUCCUACGGGAGGCAGCAGUGAGGAAUAUUGGUCAAUGGGCGAGAGCCUGAACCAGCCAAGUAGCGUGAAGGAUGACUGCCCUAUGGGUUGUAAACUUCUUUUAUAAAGGAAUAAAGUCGGGUAUGGAUACCCGUUUGCAUGUACUUUAUGAAUAAGGAUCGGCUAACUCCGUGCCAGCAGCCGCGGUAAUACGGAGGAUCCGAGCGUUAUCCGGAUUUAUUGGGUUUAAAGGGAGCGUAGAUGGAUGUUUAAGUCAGUUGUGGAAGUUUGCGGCUCAACCGUAAAAUUGCAGUUGAUACUGGAUAUCUUGAGUGCAGUUGAGGCAGGCGGAAUUCGUGGUGUAGCGGUGAAAUGCUUAGAUAUCACGAAGAACUCCGAUUGCGAAGGCAGCCCUGCUAAGCUGCAACUGACAUUGAGGCUCGAAAGUGUGGGUAUCAAACAGGAUUAGAUACCCUGGUAGUCCACACGGUAAACGAUGAAUACUCGCUGUUUGCGAUAUACAGCAAGCGGCCAAGCGAAAGCGUUAAGUAUUCCACCUGGGGAGUACGCCGGCAACGGUGAAACUCAAAGGAAUUGACGGGGGCCCGCACAAGCGGAGGAACAUGUGGUUUAAUUCGAUGAUACGCGAGGAACCUUACCCGGGCUUAAAUUGCAGAUGAAUUACGGUGAAAGCCGUAAGCCGCAAGGCAUCUGUGAAGGUGCUGCAUGGUUGUCGUCAGCUCGUGCCGUGAGGUGUCGGCUUAAGUGCCAUAACGAGCGCAACCCUUGUUGUCAGUUACUAACAGGUUCCGCUGAGGACUCUGACAAGACUGCCAUCGUAAGAUGUGAGGAAGGUGGGGAUGACGUCAAAUCAGCACGGCCCUUACGUCCGGGGCUACACACGUGUUACAAUGGGGGGUACAGAGGGCCGCUACCACGCGAGUGGAUGCCAAUCCCCAAAACCUCUCUCAGUUCGGACUGGAGUCUGCAACCCGACUCCACGAAGCUGGAUUCGCUAGUAAUCGCGCAUCAGCCACGGCGCGGUGAAUACGUUCCCGGGCCUUGUACACACCGCCCGUCAAGCCAUGGGAGCCGGGGGUACCUGAAGUGCGUAACCGCGAGGAGCGCCCUAGGGUAAAACUGGUGACUGGGGCUAAGU